This 296-nucleotide ribosomal RNA is filed under the name uncultured bacterium. Its description in RNAcentral is "partial 16S ribosomal RNA". It matches the Rfam family "Bacterial small subunit ribosomal RNA", at positions 475 to 776 of the family's 1533-position model. The record is from RNAcentral.
CUAUGCGCCUUGCCAGCCCGCUCAGGUGUGCCAGCAGCCGCGGUAAUACGGAGGAUGCGAGCGUUAUCCGGAUUUAUGGGUUUAAAGGGUGCGUAGCGGAAUAUCAAGUCAGCGGUAAAAAUUCGGGGCUCAACCCCGUCGUGCCGUUGAAACUGAUGUUCUUGAGUGGGCGAGAAGUAUGCGGAAUGCGUGGUGUAGCGGUGAAAUGCAUAGAUAUCACGCAGAACUCCGAUUGCGAAGGCAGCAUACCGGCGCCCAACUGACGCUGAAGCACGAAAGCGUGGGUAUCGAACAGG